This is a non-coding RNA of Dipodomys ordii (Ord's kangaroo rat), 71 nucleotides long. NCBI's taxonomy places the organism in Eukaryota, Metazoa, Chordata, Mammalia, Rodentia, Heteromyidae. The record is from Rfam.
UGGAAUGUGGCUUAGUGCUAAAGUGCUUGCCUAGCAUGCAUGAAGCCCUGGGUUCGAUUCCCUGGUACCAC